This 164-nucleotide ribosomal RNA is filed under the name Oxalis lichenoides. Its description in RNAcentral is "5.8S ribosomal RNA". It matches the Rfam family "5.8S ribosomal RNA". Rfam says of the family: 5.8S ribosomal RNA (5.8S rRNA) is a component of the large subunit of the eukaryotic ribosome. It is transcribed by RNA polymerase I as part of the 45S precursor that also contains 18S and 28S rRNA. The record is from RNAcentral. RNAcentral also lists the same sequence under 14 other names. Lineage: Eukaryota; Viridiplantae; Streptophyta; Magnoliopsida; Oxalidales; Oxalidaceae.
AAAAUGACUCUCGGCAACGGAUAUCUCGGCUCUCGCAUCGAUGAAGAACGUAGCGAAAUGCGAUACUUGGUGUGAAUUGCAGAAUCCCGUGAACCAUCGAGUCUUUGAACGCAAGUUGCGCCCCAAGCCUUUAGGUCGAGGGCACGCCUGCCUGGGUGUCACAC